UUAGAAACCUUCCCUUUUGGGUUUCAUGAUGUUUGGAGAAGUUGAAUUUGUCAUUAGUAGCAAUUUCUCCUUCUCUCUCUUCCAUUUCUCUUUUCUUCUCUUUCUUUCUUUUUUCUUCUUCUCUUCUUUCUUCUUCUCUUCUUCCUUCUCUCUCUUUCUUUUCUUCUUUCGUUUCUUCCUCUUCUUUUCUCUCUUGCUCUCUUUUUAUUUUCCUAUCCAUAAGCUUC
RNAcentral lists this long non-coding RNA (227 nucleotides) under Vigna radiata. RNAcentral's name for it is "long non-coding RNA (VRAD_LNC008587)". Lineage: Eukaryota; Viridiplantae; Streptophyta; Magnoliopsida; Fabales; Fabaceae. The record is from RNAcentral.